CGUGUAGGCGGCGGAAUAAGUCAGAUGUGAAAUCCCCCGGCUCAACCGGGGAACGGCAUUUGAAACUGUUUUGCUUGAGUGCGAGAGGGGGUAGUGGAAUUCCCAGUGUAGCGGUGAAAUGCGUAGAUAUUGGGAAGAACACCAGUAGCGAAGGCGGCUACCUGGCUCGCAACUGACGCUAAGGCGCGAAAGCGUGGGGAGCAAACA
Molecule: ribosomal RNA, 207 nt
Filed under: uncultured bacterium
Lineage: Bacteria
Description: partial 16S ribosomal RNA
Rfam family: Bacterial small subunit ribosomal RNA
Source: RNAcentral